Molecule: ribosomal RNA, 321 nt
Filed under: Ophisops elegans (snake-eyed lizard)
Lineage: Eukaryota; Metazoa; Chordata; Lepidosauria; Squamata; Lacertidae
Description: partial 16S ribosomal RNA
Rfam family: Bacterial large subunit ribosomal RNA
Source: RNAcentral
GACUAACCUGUCUCUUAUGGGCAUUCAAUGAAACUGAUCUCUCAGUCCAAAAGCUAAGAUACUUACACCAGACGAGAAGACCCUGUGGAGCUUCCAAACCAAUACCAAUACCCAUGGUUAUACGGUUUUUAGUUGGGGCGACUUCGGAGAACAAAAAAACCUCCAACUAGGAAAUCCUCCUAAUUAAGAUUUACACAUCUAAAUAUUUACUUGACCCAGUAGGCAUUUCCCCAUCUGAUCAAGGAACCAAGUUACCCCAGGGAUAACAGCGCCAUCCUCUUUUAGAGUCCCCAUCGACAAGAGGGUUUACGACCUCGAUGU